GACGAACGCUGGCGGCGUGCUUAACACAUGCAAGUCGAGCGGAGCGGCGAACGGGUGAGGAACGAGUGAGUAACUGCCCCUCUCUCUGGGAUAACAGUUGGAAACGGCUGCUAAUACAGGAAUGUGGGGGGGGACUCGCGUCCGUCCAGCUUGUGGGUGGGGUAGGGGCCUACCAAGGCGACGACGGGUAGCCGGCCUGUGAGGGCGACCGGCCACAUGGGGCUGAAAUACGGCCCGAACUCCUACUGGAGGCAGCAGUGGGGAAUUGUGCACAAUGGUGGAACCCCUGAUGCAGCAACGCGAGUGCGGGUUGACGGACUUCGGGUUGUAAACCGAUUUCAGCCCUGCCGCGGUAGUGGCAGAAGAAGCACCGGCUAACUACGUGCCAACAGCCGCGGUAAUUC
Molecule: ribosomal RNA, 404 nt
Filed under: uncultured bacterium
Lineage: Bacteria
Description: partial 16S ribosomal RNA
Rfam family: Bacterial small subunit ribosomal RNA
Source: RNAcentral